AAAACAACAGUGAUUCCGUCAGUAGCGGCGAGCGAACGCGGAACAGCCUAAACCGUUGGGGCAUGCCCCAGCGGGGUCGUGGGAUCGAAGUUAGGAGUUACAAAGGUUCAGGUUAGUCGAACGGUCUGGAAAGUCCGGCCAGAGCGCGUGAUAGCCGCGUAGACGAAAACUUAGAACCCUCCGUUAUGCUUCGACACCCGAGUAAUGCGGGACACGAGGAAUCCUGCAUGAAUUCGCCGGGACCAUCCGGUAAGGCUAAAUACUCCGAAGUGACCGAUAGUGAACCAGUACCGUGAGGGAAAGGUGAAAAGAACCCCGGUGAGGGGAGUGAAAUAGUACCUGAAACCGUUUGCUUACAAGCAGUGGGAGGCCAAGGUUCGUCCUGGCUGACCGCGUGCCUUUUGCAUAAUGAGCCGGCUAGUGAAUGUCACAGGCAAGGUUAAGGCGUAUGCCGGAGCCGAAGCGAAAGCGAGUCUUAAUAGGGCGUUUAGUCUGUGGUAUUCGGACGUGAAGCGAGAUGAUCUAGGCAUGGCCAGGCUGAAGCGUGGGUAACACCACGUGGAGGGCCGAACCAGUUUGGGUUGAAAACCAUUUGGAUGAGCUGUGCAUAGGGGUGAAAGGCUAAUCAAAUUUCGUGAUAGCUCGUUCUCGCCGAAAUAGCUUUAGGGCUAGCCUCGGAUGAAUCGUCGCGGUGGUAGAGCACUGAAUGGGCUAGGGGCCUCACAAGGUUACCGAACCCAAUCAAACUCUGAAUGCCGUAAACGUAUAUCCGGGAGUCAGACUACGGGGGCUAAGCUCCGUGGUCGAGAGGGAAACAGCCCAGACCGACAACUAAGGUCCCAAAAUCGUGGUUAAGUGGAAAAGGAAGUGGGGAAGCACUGACAGCCAGGAGGUUGGCUUAGAAGCAGCCAUCCUUUAAAGAAAGCGUAAUAGCUCACUGGUCAAGCAGCCCUGCGCCGACAAUAUAACGGGGCUCAAACGACGUACCGAAGUUUCGGAUUGUGAGGUCUUCGGAUCUCACGAUGGUAGGCGAGCAUUCUGUAGCUGUGAAGCGGGACCGUAAGGACCGUUGGAGCGAUCAGAAAAGACUCUGUCGGCAUAAGUAGCGAUAACGCGGGUGAGAACCCCGCGCGCCGUAAACCUAAGGUUUCCUGAGUAAAGUUAAUCUGCUCAGGGUUAGUCGGUACCUAAGGCGAGGCCGAAAGGCGUAGUCGAUGGAAAUCCGGUUAAUAUUCCGGAACCACUAACGUGUGCUGUGGGAGGACGCAGUAGGGUAGGCGAGACGGCCGAUGGAUGUGCCGUUGAACUCACCAUAUCCCGUCGCUUUGGCAAAUCCGGGCGACAUCAGGGUAAAGGUAGGGACGAAAGUAGGGGUAAAACCCGAAAAAAGUCGCUGACCCCAGCUGCCAAGAAAAUUCUCGUUCAGCUAUACACGCGACGUGACCGUACCGCAAACCGACACAGGUAGGUGGGGUGAGAAUCCUAAGGCGCUUGUGAGAACUCUCGUUCAGGAACUCGGCAAACUGACCCCGUAACUUCGGGAGAAGGGGUGCCGUCCUCCGGGACGGUCGCAGAGAAAUGUCCCAGGCGACUGUUUACUAAAAACACAGGUCUCCGCAAAGUCGUGAAGACGACGUAUGGGGGCUGACGCCUGCCCAAUGCUGGAAGGUUAAGAGGAGUGGUUAGCCGCAAGGCGAAGCUGCGAAUCGAAGCCCCAGUGAAUGGCGGCCGUAACUAUAACGGUCCUAAGGUAGCGAAAUUCCUUGUCGGGUAAGUUCCGACCUGCACGAAUGGCGUAACGAUCUGGGAGCUGUCUUAACGAGUGGCACAGCGAACUUGUAGUACCGGUGAAGAUGCCGGUUUCCCGCAUCUAGACGGAAAGACCCCGUGCACCUUUACUACAACUUGAUAGUGGGUUCGGGCAAACGAUGCGCAGGAUAGGUGGGAGGCUAUGAACCGAGGCUUUUGGGCUUCGGGGAGCCAACGGUGAGAUACCACCCUUCGUUUGUCUGGACUCUAACCUAG
Molecule: ribosomal RNA, 2025 nt
Filed under: soil metagenome
Description: bacterial LSU rRNA
Rfam family: Bacterial large subunit ribosomal RNA
Source: RNAcentral